Macrobrachium nipponense is the source of this 443-nucleotide long non-coding RNA. RefSeq lists it as uncharacterized. NCBI's taxonomy places the organism in Eukaryota, Metazoa, Arthropoda, Malacostraca, Decapoda, Palaemonidae. The transcript has 3 exons. The record is from RefSeq and is a predicted model, not a curated record.
UUCCCUGCAAGUGGAGAUGUCACAAUUGAACUGGGAUGUGCUUAUAAUUUAGUAAACGUAAAGGUAAAAGUAGAUCGAGUAACUGUGAUUCUAUCAGAAGGAGUUUACAAGCAGAGGACAUCCUUUGAGUUUGACAAUCUUCUCUGGCCUUUUGGCUUUUCCUCUACAAAAGAAUCUAAAAGAAAAUCAAGCACAGAAUUGGAAAAAAUGACAACCUUGGAGCUGUAUGAUCUCUCCGACCCGAAUAGAAAAAGUUACACUUGCCUUCAAGCACAAUUCUGCCAUAUCAGGAAGGCAGUUCAUAAUCAAAGGCAAUGCACUGGACCGUGAAAUAGUACUAAUCAUGGGAUAUGACUUGACGCCUGAUCAUUUUCGUACCAAUUUCUUACUUUCAUGGUCUAAAGAUGAGAGAAUAGCAUUUGAUAUUAAUUGGAAGGAUAUUU